This is a long non-coding RNA of Mustela erminea (ermine), 384 nucleotides long. RefSeq lists it as uncharacterized. NCBI's taxonomy places the organism in Eukaryota, Metazoa, Chordata, Mammalia, Carnivora, Mustelidae. The record is from RefSeq and is a predicted model, not a curated record. The transcript has 3 exons.
GUGAUCCUGUAGUACAACAAAUCCUUUGUGGAAUGAGGCAAGGUAUAAAUAAAUUACGAGACACCCCAAGAAGACAUUUCUACUCAGAUGCACCUUGUUUCAUGCAAGCACACCAUGAAACUCACUUAAAAGCUGAUAUGCCCCGCCAGCAUCACUAGCUUCUGCCAGAAGAGGAUGAGAGAUCAAGUUUCUCUGUCGGUUUUAUCAGAGAAGAAACUAUUGAACAAUUCCUCAAGUCCCUGGACAAAUUCCUCACUGAGCCAGCUCUAGGUUUCCUUAGCCAAAGAACUUGGCAUCCAAGCAGAAGUGUCAUCACUGGAUAAUGGAUGUACUGGAAUCAGCCAAGCCACCCAUCCGGCAGCAGGAUAUUUGACAGUCCUUCUG